This 74-nucleotide transfer RNA is filed under the name Schistocerca americana (American grasshopper). Its description in RNAcentral is "tRNA-Ile". It matches the Rfam family "tRNA". From Rfam's summary of the family: Transfer RNA (tRNA) molecules are approximately 80 nucleotides in length. Their secondary structure includes four short double-helical elements and three loops (D, anti-codon, and T loops). Further hydrogen bonds mediate the characteristic L-shaped molecular structure. tRNAs have two regions of fundamental functional importance: the anti-codon, which is responsible for specific mRNA codon recognition, and the 3' end, to which the tRNAs corresponding amino acid is attached (by aminoacyl-tRNA synthetases). tRNAs cope with the degeneracy of the genetic code in two manners: having more than one tRNA (with a specific anti-codon) for a particular amino acid; and 'wobble' base-pairing, i.e. permitting non-standard base-pairing at the 3rd anti-codon position. The record is from RNAcentral. Lineage: Eukaryota; Metazoa; Arthropoda; Insecta; Orthoptera; Acrididae.
GGCCCGUUAGCUCAGUUGGUUAGAGCGUCGUGCUAAUAACGCGAGGGUCGUGGGUUCGAUCUCCCCACGGGCCA